CAGCCGCCGCGGUAAUACCGGCGGCCCGAGUGGCGGUCACUAUUAUUGGGCUUAAAGCGUCCGUAGCCGGGUUGGGAAGUCCUCCGGGGAAUCUGGCCGCUUAACGGUCAGAAUGCCGGAGGAUACUCCCAGCCUAGGGAGCGGGAGAGGCCGAGGGGAUUCCCGGAGUAGGGGGGAAAUCCUAUAAUCCCGGGAGGACCACCUGUGGCGAAGGCGCUCGGCUGGAACGCGUCCGACGGUGAGGGACGAAGGCCAGGGGAGCAAACCGGAUUAGAUACCCGGGUAGUCCUGGCUGUAAACGAUGCGGACUUUGUGUCGGACAAGCUAUGAGCUUGUCCGGUGCCGGAGGGAAACCGUUAAGUCCGCCGCCUGGGGAGUACGGCCGCAAGGCUGAAACUUAAAGGAAUUGGCGGG
RNAcentral lists this ribosomal RNA (414 nucleotides) under uncultured microorganism. RNAcentral describes it as "bacterial SSU rRNA". It matches the Rfam family "Archaeal small subunit ribosomal RNA", at positions 459 to 872 of the family's 1478-position model. The record is from RNAcentral.